This is a non-coding RNA of Leptonychotes weddellii (Weddell seal), 246 nucleotides long. The record is from RefSeq and is a predicted model, not a curated record. NCBI's taxonomy places the organism in Eukaryota, Metazoa, Chordata, Mammalia, Carnivora, Phocidae.
CGCUGGCUGACAGAGCAGAGAGCUCAAUGCCCUCAUUGCCGUGCUCCACUCCAGCUACGAGAACUAGUAAACUGUCGUUGGGCAGAGGAAGUAACACAGCAGCUUGAUACUCUUCAACUCUGCAGUCUCACCAAACAUGAAGAAAAUGAAAAGGACAAAUGUGAAAAUCACCAUGAAAAACUUAGUGUAUUUUGCUGGACUUGUAAGAAGUGUAUCUGCCAUCAGUGUGCACUUUGGGGAGGAAUG